Long non-coding RNA from Gossypium raimondii (Peruvian cotton), 738 nucleotides. RefSeq lists it as uncharacterized. The transcript is spliced from 2 exons. The record is from RefSeq and is a predicted model, not a curated record. Lineage: Eukaryota; Viridiplantae; Streptophyta; Magnoliopsida; Malvales; Malvaceae.
UUGAAGUUUCAAUAAAACCUAAUUUUUCCUUUUAAAAAUUUCAUAAACCAUUUUAAAACAAAAAAAAUGCUGCACCCCUCCCCCCUUUUUGUUCUCUGCUAGGGUUCUAUACCCAAGCCGCCGCGCCGCCCGUUCCACCGUGCGCCACAGCUCCGAUCGCGACGGAGGUGGCGCCGAUCGACGACUCCGGCGAAAGAGAUUUGAAAUCGGCCUUUUAUAGCCGGAAUGGAGAAGAAAAGAAAAGAAGAAAAAAUCCAAAGAAAUCUAUUCUGUUAUUUGUUGGCCUAUUGCUGCCCGAUUUUUGCUAUUCUGUUCUGCUUUCUCUUCUUUGUCGUAUUGUUUGUUGUCGCAGGUAUAACGUGGCAUGAAGCGGCGCAUGUUGGGGAGGGUCGUGGUGCGAGAUUCGCGGCGGCGAGCGAGGACGAGCGGUGCCAGCUUGCUGCGGCGCUAAGCAGAAGCUAGGGUUUCUGCUAGUCUAUUUUUUUGUGGGCUAGGUUUAGGAUUAUUGGGUUGAAAAGGUCUGGGCCAAUUGGGCCUUAUUACAAUAACUAUUACCAUUCCCAGAAAAAAAAAGCUACCUAUGGAGCUAAUCUAUCAACAAGAUUUAGGAAAAAAAUUUAAGUAACACGAACUAGAUAAGGCUGAGGAUGGUUUCCCGAGUGCCAAGAUUAGAGUGUACUGAAUUUAUAAAAGAUGGAAAUGAAAAAGAAGAUUAAUAAAAGCCAUUUUUGACCGAAA